This 1415-nucleotide ribosomal RNA is filed under the name Hyphomonadaceae bacterium. RNAcentral's name for it is "bacterial SSU rRNA". It matches the Rfam family "Bacterial small subunit ribosomal RNA". The record is from RNAcentral. Lineage: Bacteria; Pseudomonadati; Pseudomonadota; Alphaproteobacteria; Hyphomonadales; Hyphomonadaceae.
GCUCAGAACGAACGCUGGCGGCAGGCUUAACACAUGCAAGUCGAACGAUAUAGUGGCAGACGGGUGAGUAACGCGUGGAAACGUGCCUUUCACUACGGAAUAGCUUUUGGAAACGAAAGGUAAUACCGUAUACGCCCUCCGGGGGAAAGAUUUAUCGGUGAAAGAUCGGUCCGCGUUAGAUUAGCUAGUUGGUGAGGUAAGAGCUCACCAAGGCGACGAUCUAUAGCUGGUCUGAGAGGAUGAUCAGCCACACUGGGACUGAGACACGGCCCAGACUCCUACGGGAGGCAGCAGUGGGGAAUAUUGCACAAUGGGCGCAAGCCUGAUGCAGCCAUGCCGCGUGAAUGAUGAAGGCCUUAGGGUUGUAAAAUUCUUUCGCCAAGGAUGAUAAUGACAGUACUUGGUAAAGAAGCCCCGGCUAACUUCGUGCCAGCAGCCGCGGUAAUACGAAGGGGGCUAGCGUUGUUCGGAAUUACUGGGCGUAAAGCGCACGUAGGCGGAUUUUUAAGUCAGAUGUGAAAUCCCAAGGCUCAACCUUGGAACUGCAUUUGAAACUGGGAAUCUAGAGAUCAGGAGAGGUUAGUGGAAUACCGAGUGUAGAGGUGAAAUUCGUAGAUAUUCGGUGGAACACCAGUGGCGAAGGCGACUAACUGGACUGAUACUGACGCUGAGGUGCGAAAGUGUGGGGAGCAAACAGGAUUAGAUACCCUGGUAGUCCACACCGUAAACGAUGAGAGCUAGUUGUCUGCAGGCAUGCCUGUAGGUGACGCAGCUAACGCAUUAAGCUCUCCGCCUGGGGAGUACGGCCGCAAGGUUAAAACUCAAAGAAAUUGACGGGGGCCCGCACAAGCGGUGGAGCAUGUGGUUUAAUUCGAAGCAACGCGCAGAACCUUACCUACGCUUGACAUGCCUGGACGACUCCGAGAGAUCGGUUUCUCCCUUCGGGGCCAGUGCACAGGUGCUGCAUGGCUGUCGUCAGCUCGUGUCGUGAGAUGUUGGGUUAAGUCCCGCAACGAGCGCAACCCUCAUCCUUAGUUGCCAUCACGUUUGGGUGGGCACUCUAGGGAAACUGCCGGUGCUAAGCCGGAGGAAGGCGGGGAUGACGUCAAGUCCUCAUGGCCCUUACGCGUAGGGCUACACACGUGCUACAAUGGCAGUGACAAUGGGAUAAUCCCCAAAAGCUGUCUCAGUUCGGAUUGUCGGCUGCAACUCGCCGGCAUGAAGUUGGAAUCGCUAGUAAUCGUGGAUCAGCAUGCCACGGUGAAUACGUUCCCGGGCCUUGUACACACCGCCCGUCACACCAUGGGAGUUGGAUCUACCCGAAGAUUGUGAGCUAACUUCGGAGGCAGCAAGCCACGGUAGGUUCAGCGACUGGGGUGAAGUCGUAACAAGGUAGCCGUAGGGGAACCUGCGGU